Molecule: ribosomal RNA, 531 nt
Rfam family: Bacterial large subunit ribosomal RNA (bases 395-531)
AAAAACAUGUCUUUUUGAAAAUAAUAAAAAGUCUAAUCUGCCCACUGAAUUUAUUUAAAGGGCUGCAGUAUAUUGACUGUACAAAGGUAGCAUAAUCAAUAGUCUUUUAAUUGAAGACUUGUAUGAAUGAUUUGAUGAAAUAUGAACUGUCUCUUUUUUAAAAAUAAAAUUUAAUUUUUUAGUUAAAAAGCUAAAAUAAUUAUAAAAGACGAGAAGACCCUAUAGAGUUUUAUAGUUAUUUAAUUUAAAAAUUUUAUAUAUAAUUUAAAUUUAAAAUUAAUUAAUUAUUUUAUUGGGGUGAUAGAAAAAUUAAAAAAACUUUUUUUAAAAAUUUAACAUUAAUUUAUGAAAUUAUGAUCCAUAAUUUAUGAUUAAAAGAAUCAAUUACCUUAGGGAUAACAGCGUAAUUUUUUUUUUUAGUACAAAUAAGAAAAAGAGUUUGCGACCUCGAUGUUGGAUUAAGAUAAAAUUUAAAUGCAAAAGUUUAAAAUUUUUGAUCUGUUCGAUCAUUAAAAUCUUACAUGAUCUGAG